CUCUCUGUUGUCAGUGACACACCUUUCGUGAAACUGAACCUCCGUGAUUGCGUGCAACUUUUCGUCACUACCACUGAGACAGCCAAUGGG
Small nucleolar RNA from Elgaria multicarinata webbii, 90 nucleotides. RefSeq annotates it as small nucleolar RNA SNORD70. The record is from RefSeq and is a predicted model, not a curated record. The transcript has a single exon. NCBI's taxonomy places the organism in Eukaryota, Metazoa, Chordata, Lepidosauria, Squamata, Anguidae.